GAUAAUGGCUCAGGACGAACGCUGGCGGCGUGCUUAACACAUGCAAGUCGAACGAGAAUCUGCGGAAAGAGGAUUCGUCCAAUUGAAGCAGAGGACAGUGGCGGACGGGUGAGUAACGCGUGAGGAACCUGCCUUUCAGAGGGGGACAACAGUUGGAAACGACUGCUAAUACCGCAUGACACAUUGAGGUCGCAUGGCCUUAAUGUCAAAGAUUUAUCGCUGAAAGAUGG
Molecule: ribosomal RNA, 230 nt
Filed under: uncultured bacterium
Lineage: Bacteria
Description: partial 16S ribosomal RNA
Rfam family: Bacterial small subunit ribosomal RNA
Source: RNAcentral